CGGAGGGAUCAUUACACAACAAAAUAUGAAGGCCUGGCUUUCGCGGCCGGCUGAAGUAUUUUUUUCACCCAUGUCUUUUGCGCACUUGUUGUUUCCUGGGCGGGUUCGCCCGCCACCAGGACCAAACCAUAAACCUUUUUUUCUUAUGCAGUUUCCAUCAGCGUCAGUAAAAACAAUGUAAUUAUUACAACUUUCAACAACGGAUCUCUUGGUUCUGGCAUCGAUGAAGAACGCAGCGAAAUGCGAUACGUAGUGUGAAUUGCAGAAUUCAGUGAAUCAUCGAAUCUUUGAACGCACAUUGCGCCCUUUGGUAUUCCAAAGGGCAUGCCUGUUCGAGCGUCAUUUGUACCUUCAAGCUUUGCUUGGUGUUGGGCGUUUUUUUGUCUCCCUCUUUCUGGGAGACUCGCCUUAAAACGAUUGGCAGCCGGCCUACUGGUUUCGGAGCGCAGCACAUUUUUUGCGCUUUGUAUCAGGAGAAAAGGACGGUACUCCAUCAAGACUCUACAUUUUUCACUUUUGACCUCGGAUCAGGUAGGGAUACCCGCUGAACUUAAGCAU
This 558-nucleotide ribosomal RNA is filed under the name Bipolaris oryzae. RNAcentral's name for it is "eukaryotic LSU rRNA". The stretch from base 189 to 342 matches the Rfam family "5.8S ribosomal RNA". Lineage: Eukaryota; Fungi; Ascomycota; Dothideomycetes; Pleosporales; Pleosporaceae. The record is from RNAcentral.